This is a long non-coding RNA of Oreochromis aureus, 5915 nucleotides long. Lineage: Eukaryota; Metazoa; Chordata; Actinopteri; Cichliformes; Cichlidae. The record is from Ensembl.
AGGAGCAGCAAAAGUGUUAAUGUGUUGCCAUGAAGCGGUGUCGCUGUCUGGACAUACGGCGUGGUGAGCCUGUCAUGCCCUGACACAGGCGAGCAGCUAAACUUAAAGUGUGGAGUGAGAGGAAUGCCAAGGUCCAGUAAGCCCCUCGGGGCAAUUAGGAAGGGAAGAGGAGAUUCUACUGGGGAACAAGUGUGUGUUUUCAUGUGUGUGUGAGACAGAAAUAGAGUUGAGAGACUCAGUUGGAGUUCAUGAGCUCGUUUUCAGCCAGAGAAGUAACCAGUGAGCAAAGGAGUUCAUGUGCAGUCAAGAGAACGAGAAGGGAUCAAGCUUGGAGCGUCAAACAGGUUAUGCCCUGUUUUGUGAUUAACCCUGGCAGCCAUACACUACAGCUGGAAGCGCAACACAACAUCCAGCACCGUGAAGCUCCAAGGCUGUAGACAUGACAAGGACAGAGCAGGUCAGCUCAGUAGAGAGCACUCUGUGGUAAUGAGCUGCUCCACUUUCAUGACAGAUGGAAAAUGUGCAGCAUGCUGCGCUCUUCUCCUCCCUUCCCUUCUCCACUCCGCUUCGCCCAGUUCGCCCGACCAUCCAUCCACCCAACGGCGCCGGCACUUCAAUGUAUCAAAUGAUCGGGACGUGGCAACGAGAGGAGGAGCCACUUGGAGUUGAGGCAGUGGAAAGAACGCCUCACCCUGUUCAUCAAUAUUGCAGCUUUACCUGGUGAAAGCUAACACUGCCCAACAUAUUCCAUCGUGUCAUUGGAAGAAAGGAUCAGAUACCUUGGCUUGACAUGCCAACAUUGUUACCUGUACAAAUGAUGACGCAAAGCUUGCUUAAUUUUUCAUGGUCUCUUUGAAGGAGGAGGAGAAGUUUGGAGGCACUGGAAAACAGAACGUGUUCAAGAGUGCUAUUAUCAACAAGGAGGUCAUGUUUGUUCUAGGCUGACAAGGUGAGAAGCGAAAGAAACCUGAAGAACACGAGCUCCUCCUGGUGCAACAGGCUCAUAAGAGAAGCCUGAUCUUCAGGUGUACCUAAAAAGGAUUUGCAUCAUUUUAUUCUAAGCCAAUAUGGGAAGCCACAAAAAUAAAGAGCAAACCUGCAGCGCCUCAAUGUCAAUAAUACAUAUGCACAGCAUUCCUCUACUGACUACAUUUACCUGUCUACCUCUCGAAACAAUUACAAGAAUGAUCUGAAAAAAAAAGAAGCAAUAUUUACAAUUAGUUUAGUGGGUUAUCCAUUGGGUUGGUAAGCUAGAAGGUUGGUGGUUCAAGGGGGACACAGGGGACACAAACCCCCCUUUGAGUUGGGUCAGGAAGGGAUCCAACAUAAAACUCAGCCAAAGGAAACACCAAAGCCAACAUGUGAAGCUAACUGCUGUGACAAGGGACAACUUUUUUUUUUUUUACUCUACAAAUCAAACAUAAGAAACCUGCAUAAAGGCCCUCUUUAUCUUUCCCUCUAUAAUAGCACUUGUCUGUACAAGAAACCUGAACCAGCUGGCUUCACAAGUACAUCAAGUGUUGCAGAUUUAUUUUGGUCUCUAUUAAUCAUCCAGCACACUACAGCAUAGAUGUUUUAGGAUUUGCUUCUAAUUUAAUUUAGUAAAGGUGAAAAAAUGGAAUGAAGGCAGUGCAAUCAUAAAUAAAAGAGCAGCUACAGAUUUGUGAUAAAUAAAUAAAGGUUAUACUAGUUCGUACAGUAGCUAGCAAACAGACGACCCUUCACUAAUGAACCACCUGCACCAGCUCAGCUCCUGCGUGAAUGAACGUAACUUGAGUGAAGCGUAAAAGUGACUCAAAUUCAUAUUCUGUCAUGACGCUGCUCGUCUGAGCUGUGGUAACUGCUGCAUAUCUCAUUGGUCAGAGGCAGAGUGCUGUCAUGAUAGCAGACUGCGUGCGUGGGAUUGUGUGUGCCUGAUCGUGUGUGGGUGUGUAACACGGUCUGGCUGAGGUCAGGGUUGGUGCACAUUUAAUCUGCUCUCUGUUUCCAGGCCACUCCAAGGACUUUGACACAUCACUUCUGCAUCUAUUAUUCAUAACUGUGGUAUUAGACUGUGUGUCUGUGUGCGCAGAUGCAUGUGCGUGCAUGUGUGGGCACAACACACCGUCCUUCUGAAGCACAAUGUGGCUCAAAAUUCGCCAGAAUUUUUUUGCAGCUAUAAUAUCAACCUUGUUGCAUAAUCACAAAAUUUCUACCACAUACAAACUUACACUCACGCACGGGCACACUGUGCUCCCACUCCAGUUGCACAACCCCUGAAUUUUAGGGAUAGAAUGGCCUUGUUUCAUAAGCAGUCUGCUGCCUACUGGCAGCUGUGCUGUCAGAUGAGGUCAUUACUUGGGGCGGGUCACAAGCACAGUCUGGGCAUAAUGUUGGACACCAUUGUGAAAACCCACCGUGUGUGAAUGAGAAUGACAGCCAAGGGCGACCCUAGAGCUGUGACAAUCCUGUUGUGGGGAGGCUGCAGGGCAUUUGUAUUGUUUCUGUUUUGAGUCGUGUUACCUCGCUGGUUUGUGCAGCGAUGCAUCGAGGAAACAGGGAACAGAGGAGUUGAACGAUGCCUGUGUGUGUCGGUGUGUGAGUGCAGGCUGGUAUUAUUAUCAGCUCAAUGCCAGGGUGGGGUGAAUGGCUUCAGUGUUAUCUCUGGAGCACAGCUUGUUUACGCUAAUAAACACAACUCUAACUCCACUCCAGCCAAUUGUAAAGCGGGCAUUUGCCUAUUGACGCCACUCCAAAGCAAGAAAUCAUCUGGGAUAUGAAUAUACACGAGAACAAUGUUGGUGCCUCACAUUGUUGUAUGCUGAACAAUUUCUCUGGAUGCUCACAUGCCAGCAAUAAUCAGACACUGACGCCUCUUUUGAAUUCAGUGAUCCCCAUUGUUGAGUUUGUGUUGACAGAUUUUUCUGCCUUUCAGAAAACUUCUUGGUGCUGCAGAUCAGGCCGCAAAGACACGCAAAGUUCAGAUGAACCACUUAUUUGGGCAUCUGUACCAGGAAAUUGUUUCAGCUCUUUCCAUGAAAGUAAAGACCUCAUUUAAUGUCAAUGGUCAACAUGUUCCUGAAGAAGACUUGUGCUAAUACUGCAUGGGGGAGUGGAGCACUCAAAUCAUUUCAUCCAGUAGCUAAAGCUUCUUUAAAUCCCUCCAAACAUGAAUUUUUCGACCAAUAGGAAAAUAGUUAAUAUGAUGGGAGUAAAACACCACUCCAUCCAAUAGUCAAGCACCUCAGUUGUUUACCCAAAUCUCUGCAAUCCCUCCGUGAAUAUUUAUUCAGCCAAUGCGAGGGCAGUAGCCCCAGCGCACAAGGACAAAUGUCUGACGAUUUCCUGCUGGCAUCUAGCGUGAGUGUGUCUUAAUCCCUCUGUGCAGUAGGCUAUUUUGAAGAAGUGACUACAGAGUGUGAUGGAUAUGUGCACAUGCUUCACUGCCUGUGCUCACGUAUGUUAAUGUGGCCGUCUACAUAUGACCGUCUUCAUUUUUCUUCAUGUAGCGGAUUGUUUUCUGUGUCACCUCUUUAACCUCUAGCUUCCCCACGCCCACCCCCCGCCGCCCCCUCUGCACCCCACCAAAGCCGCUUUGAGCUCUUUGCUCUGACAUCACGGUAGUCAUCAUCAGUAGGCAUGGAACAGACCAUUAGGUGAGAAAGCGGGGGGAGAUUACUCGCGAAUCAGAACACUUUAGCUUUGGCACUAAAGAGAGAGUCUGAAAAUCCACCUCGGGAUGUAACAAUGAGAAAUUCUUGGCUUUCUUUUUUGUUUUUGUGGGUUUUUUUGUGUCAGAGCAUCUUUGAUUACAACAUACAUCUGAUGCUCUACCAAAAAAAAAAGUAUACUAUAGCAUCCCUUUGGCACAGAAGGAAUGCUCCAAAUAUCUCUGCAUCAGCAGAAUAAAACUACCACUCUCUCUGGUUCACUCUUCAUAUUGUUGUUUUAAACUAUUACUAGUGAGAGGUCAUGACUUAUGGAUCUGUGCUGAAUAAAAGGAGUCAAGAACAAAAGAGUCAAUGUCUGCAAGUUAAACUGUUUGCCUCUAGGAAAGUGCAGUGACGUGUCAGUCCGGCAGGUCUUAGGCAGUCCUAGUCCGAGCUCCAUGACACUGUGGGGAAAAGUCAGACACUAGAAGUUUCCAUGAGCUCUACAAGCCAAUCCUCUGUAAGGCUGCUAGCAUGACUAAGGUGUCACAGUGACCUCCUGGACGUCUGUUUCAAGUUCACAGAUGUGAUGUAACACAGGCAUCUCUUGACUCCAUUAGUGGAUCCACCAGGCUAAUGACAUGUUAUUUUAAGAACAAACUGCACAAUAAACGGAGGUAUUCUGUGAUCUGCAUUUGUUUUAAAUUAAAUUUGGGGAAUUCUUUAUUAAAUCUGCCUAAUGUGCGAGUUCUGAAAACAACAUGUGAGCAGAAUAGUAGGUACUGCAGGUUAUCUGUGUUUGGGCACACAAUUGUAUGAAUAUCCGUUACAUGCCACCUCCCUCUGUCUCUCACCACAUUAUUCGUCUGCUUGUUUACUGUGAUCAGUUUGAUAAAAAUGUGAAAUCAGCAUCCAAGCACUUUAAAGAAGAAAGAUAAUGCCGUAAUUUCUCUAUAGCUUAAAGAAAACCUAAAAAAUAGUCUUCAAAUCAGCAAAUCCUUAUUUGAUGUAUCAAAAUCAACAGCACUUCACCCCAUAAAAAUCUUACUUGAUUUUAAUUUCAAAAUCAACUCUUUGUGAAAUUCUAACACAAGUCUUUCUACAUUUAAGUCCUGUUUUAAGCUUUAAAAUUUUACGUUUUCACUUUUUAAUGUUUUCUAAAAGCUUCAAAGCUUUAGAGUCACAUACACAGAUACAUUUCAUACAUUUAUCUUCACUUUUUUUUAAUGAAUUUUAAACUUGAAGAUGUCAAACUGCGUCUGUUCUUUCAUUUGCAAACAGAUAAAUAUUCACUUGUAGCGCGUUUGUAAAUGACUACAAUUCUGAUAAAAACUCCCCUAGGUCUGCAGAAAUGGCUGAUCAGUCACACACAGUGUUAUGGCUACAGUCUAAUCACAGUAAAGUUGCCAGGCUCACUAAGGGGGCAAAUUUCGCUAGCUGGCUGAAAAGAUUGUACAUAUAUUUCUCCCCCCCCUCAUAAUUAAGAGGUUUGUGUUGUUUCUUUUAGAAACUGUUAAAAAGCUACAUUUUUCUGGCACAGUUUUCAGAGAUAUUUGCAGACAGAAAAGUUCAGAUGACAAACACUGAAAAUAUAAGAAAGUCCAGAUGUUCUUGAAUGUGUCAUUGCUUGGCUGUGUUUGUGGGCAACCAGGAUUCAUGGCAUGGCAUCUGCAAUGAUGCUGAAGAGUGGUCAGUUUGACAAACGAGAAGUUUGCUAUCUUUACAAGAUUAUACUAUUUGGGGAAGAGCACAAAUCCUCCAGUGCAAGUGGUCACAAAGUUACUACUGUGGAGUGAGCUAUUCAUAGCAGAGGCAGAGAUUUUAAGCAGAAGGCCUCGAAGGGGAAAGUUCAACUAAAAUCAAGUGUUAUUUUUCUUUAUCACACGCAGAUUUGGGGAACUCUUUAUCCCACCUUGCCACUGUUUUGGAUUACAUGACCGUAAGUUCUGAACUGCCAACUUAGCGCACUGAAAGGGCAACAGGAAAAUGUAAAAUCCAGAAGUGAAAAAUGGAAAGAAGUUCAACUUUAACAGCUGAAGUGAAACCUCAAAGGCAACGGUUAAACUGAGGAGGAAAUGAAAAGCAUAUAAAAGGCAAUGGAAAAUGAUUUACUUGGAUAUGAAAUUAUUGUGGUUUAUGAAUUUACCAUUUUUCUCCCUCUGUUUUGCAUUUGGCAUUUGAAUUAAUAUUAAAAUAAAAAUGUUUAUAUAAUUUUCAAUUAUGUGCAGUUAUCAUCCUUACAAAACAGUUUAGUACUGAGUCAUAAUAAUAUACUGUUUUUUACCC